UCCACUGUGACCGUCAAGUGUCAAACCAGGUUGUUUAGAUUAUGCCGCUAAAAGUGGGCAAUACCGAAAACAUGGAAAACCAAACAAAUUUGACAAAAAAGCCUGAGAUAUUAACCACCACUGUUACAGACCCGUUCAGCAAUCAAGAAUAUCUCCAAAGAAAGCUGUAUUUUUUACUGGAACAUCUUAAGAAAAUGCACAGCGAUCUCCCAGAACAAUAUCAGAUGAGAAUAUCUUACGACCUAUUAGCCGGCCUUGCCAACUCCUUGCUAAACGAUACGAUCUUUGAAAUCGUCAAAGGGUUGAUGGAGAUUCAGCACGUGACUGAGGCACAUUUGAUGCAAGUUCGAGAGAAGGUUGAGAAUGACCAUCAGCUGGAGGUGAAACAAUGGGAGUCGAAAAUACAGGAUCCCGAAGAGCUGGAACACAUUAUUGCACUGAUGAAAAUUAAACAUGGAAAGAAUAUGAAAGAUACCGACAUGAAAUUAGUACUCCAUCUAGACCAAAAAGUGAAAGAUCAGCAAUCCACUCUUGAGAAGGCUGGAGUGCCCGGAUUCUAUGUAACAGACAACCCGAAGGAGAUCAAUAUCCAGAUGUAUCUAUUAGACUUCAUUCUUCGGCUUAGUAGACUUAAAUUUGAGUCGAACAAAUAGCAUUCGGAGGAAGGCGAAUAAUUCAUAGCGGUUGCUGAAAUCAAUUCCAUAACAGCUGCUGCCAAUGCGCUAUGAGCGUAUUCAUCUCGCUUCUGACCGUCUUUAUACUGGUGGCUGUAGCGGUCGCUUUGGGAAUAUACUUUGGAUUGCUGAACGUCGAUGAUACAGCACCGGAUGUUUCCAAUUUUGUCCACAAAACUGGCGAUUCCAUUAAGGACAGCAUUAAAAACAAGUUUAAUUAGUGGACUUUUUUGCUGCAUGGUUGCUUAUUUCUGAACCAUUUAAAUCACAAUAAUGAAUCUCAAAAUAAUAUUUUUAUGCGUUACAUCCGGGUGUACAGUGGAUGAAUAUUGCCCGGUAAUGUAAGCAAAGGAAUUCGUACAAAUAAUGUGCUUUAUUCGUCUAUACAUCAAUAUGUCAACCAUUCAAACAAAUUGCUAAAAUAUGCUCAGGAAACAUUCAUACCAUUGACGGAAUGCAUCUCAGCUUGUUCAAGCUGCAUUCUAUUUGCCAUCGCCAUUGCGGUUGCUAUUUACUAUGGAGUUAUUCAUGUCGACGAGAACGCUUCCGAUACAAUCAAGGAGACAGGAUCAAAAAUAAAGCAUUCCAUUAAAGAUGGCUUAAAGAAACUAGGCGAGGAUUGAAUCGACGUUAGUGCUGCCGGAGCUGUAACAUGCAGAACUAAAGCCACCUGAAAUGCAACGCCACUCGUAACCAAAUACGUGCCAGCUAAUGAGAAUCGAAGCAUUUGCUCCACUAUAUACAAACAGAUGAAUCUAUUCUAUUAACGUGCGACAUACCUCGUGGGGAAGUACUACAAUGCGUAUAUGGAUCUGGAAAUCUCUGCCGUGUGCUAAUUUAUUCAUUCGCUUUUUGUAACAGUUUUUAGUCAUGAGUUUUUGAAAACAAAGCAUCACUCCUACUUCUAAUAUUUAGUCGAAGCGUUACAUGUAGAACUGCUACGGAUGACAUGACUUCCUAUGUAGACUCCAUAAAUGCGAUCUGUGUGUUAAAAAACGCACAACACAAU
RNA transcript from Anopheles stephensi (Asian malaria mosquito), 1683 nucleotides. It is a transcript of the gene named gonadal protein gdl, with no coding region annotated. The record is from RefSeq and is a predicted model, not a curated record. The transcript is spliced from 5 exons. NCBI's taxonomy places the organism in Eukaryota, Metazoa, Arthropoda, Insecta, Diptera, Culicidae.